UGAGGAAUAUUGGUCAAUGGACGAGAGUCUGAACCAGCCAAGUAGCGUGAAGGAUGACUGCCCUAUGGGUUGUAAACUUCUUUUAUACGGGAAUAAAGUGAGGCACGUGUGCCUUUUUGUAUGUACCGUAUGAAUAAGGAUCGGCUAACUCCGUGCCAGCAGCCGCGGUAAUACGGAGGAUCCGAGCGUUAUCCGGAUUUAUUGGGUUUAAAGGGAGCGUAGGCGGACGCUUAAGUCAGUUGUGAAAGUUUGCGGCUCAACCGUAAAAUUGCAGUUGAUACUGGGUGUCUUGAGUACAGUAGAGGCAGGCGGAAUUCGUGGUGUAGCGGUGAAAUGCUUAGAUAUCACGAAGAACUCCGAUUGCGAAGGCAGCUUGCUGGACUGUAACUGACGCUGAUGCUCGAAAGUGUGGGUAUCAAACAGGAUUAGAUACCCUGGUAGUCCACACAGUAAACGAUGAAUACUCGCUGUUUGCGAUAUACAGUAAGCGGCCAAGCGAAAGCGUUAAGUAUUCCACCUGGGGAGUACGCCGGCAACGGUGAAACUCAAAGGAAUUGACGGGGGCCCGCACAAGCGGAGGAACAUGUGGUUUAAUUCGAUGAUACGCGAGGAACCUUACCCGGGCUUAAAUUGCAACUGACUGAACCGGAAACGGUUCCUUCUUCGGACAGUUGUGAAGGUGCUGCAUGGUUGUCGUCAGCUCGUGCCGUGAGGUGUCGGCUUAAGUGCCAUAACGAGCGCAACCCUUAUCGAUAGUUACUAGCAGGUCAUGCUGAGGACUCUAUUGAGACUGCCGUCGUAAGAUGUGAGGAAGGUGGGGAUGACGUCAAAUCAGCACGGCCCUUACGUCCGGGGCUACACACGUGUUACAAUGGGGGGUACAGAAGGCAGCUACACGGCGACGUGGUGCUAAUCCCGAAAGCCUCUCUCAGUUCGGAUUGGAGUCUGCAACCCGACUCCAUGAAGCUGGAUUCGCUAGUAAUCGCGCAUCAGCCACGGCGCGGUGAAUACGUUCCC
RNAcentral lists this ribosomal RNA (1017 nucleotides) under uncultured bacterium. RNAcentral describes it as "bacterial SSU rRNA". It matches the Rfam family "Bacterial small subunit ribosomal RNA", at positions 355 to 1375 of the family's 1533-position model. RNAcentral also lists the same sequence under 1 other name. The record is from RNAcentral.